RNAcentral lists this ribosomal RNA (301 nucleotides) under uncultured bacterium. RNAcentral's name for it is "partial 16S ribosomal RNA". It matches the Rfam family "Bacterial small subunit ribosomal RNA", at positions 509 to 807 of the family's 1533-position model. The record is from RNAcentral.
CAGCAGCCACGGUAAUACGAAGGGUGCAAGCGUUACUCGGAAUUACUGGGCGUAAAGCGUGCGUAGGUGGUGGUUUAAGUCCGUUGUGAAAGCCCUGGGCUCAACCUGGGAAUUGGAGUGGAUACUGGGUCACUAGAGUGUGGUAGAGGAUAGUGGAAUAUCCGGUGUAGCAGUGAAAUGCGUAGAGAUCGGAAGGAACAUCUGUGGCGAAGGCGACUAUCUGGGCCAACACUGACACUGAGGCACGAAAGCGUGGGGAGCAAACAGGAUUAGAUACCCGUGUAGUCCCUGUCUCUUAUAC